UACGUAGGGGGCGAGCGUUGUCCGAAGUUAUUGGGCGUAAAGAGCUCGUAGGCGGCUUGUCGCGUCGGAUGUGAAAGCCCGGGGCUUAACUCCGGGUCUGCAUUCGAUACGGGCAGGCUAGAGUUCGGUAGGGGAGAUCGGAAUUCCUGGUGUAGCGGUGAAAUGCGCAGAUAUCAGGAGGAACACCGGUGGCGAAGGCGGAUCUCUGGGCCGAUACUGACGCUGAGGAGCGAAAGCGUGGGGAGCGAACAGG
This 253-nucleotide ribosomal RNA is filed under the name uncultured bacterium. RNAcentral describes it as "partial 16S ribosomal RNA". It matches the Rfam family "Bacterial small subunit ribosomal RNA", at positions 524 to 776 of the family's 1533-position model. The record is from RNAcentral.